UACGUAGGCAGCGAGCGUUGUUCGGAGUUACUGGGCGUAAAGGGGGUGUAGGCGGUUGUUUAAGUUUGGUGUGAAAUCUCCCGGCUCAACUGGGAGGGUGCGCCGAAUACUGAAUGACUUCGAGUGCGGGAGAGGAAAGUGGAAUUCCUGGUGUAGCGGUGAAAUGCGUAGAUAUCAGGAGGAACACCAGUGGCGAAGGCGGCUUUCUGGGUCCGCCCUGACGCUGAGGCGCGAAAGCGUGGGGAGCGAACGGG
RNAcentral lists this ribosomal RNA (254 nucleotides) under uncultured bacterium. Its description in RNAcentral is "partial 16S ribosomal RNA". It matches the Rfam family "Bacterial small subunit ribosomal RNA", at positions 524 to 776 of the family's 1533-position model. The record is from RNAcentral.